GCCGGGUGUGGUGGUGCAUGCCUGUAAUCCCAGCUACUCGGGAGGCUGAGGCAGGGGAAUUGCUUGAACCCAGGAGACGGAGGUUGCAGUGAGCCGAGAUCGCACCACUGCACUCCAGGCUGGGUAACAGAGCAAGACUCUGUCUCAA
Unclassified non-coding RNA from Macaca mulatta (Rhesus monkey), 148 nucleotides. It matches the Rfam family "Metazoan signal recognition particle RNA". Rfam says of the family: The signal recognition particle (SRP) is a universally conserved ribonucleoprotein. It is involved in the co-translational targeting of proteins to membranes. The record is from Ensembl. NCBI's taxonomy places the organism in Eukaryota, Metazoa, Chordata, Mammalia, Primates, Cercopithecidae.